AUUACGUAUCCCUCUUCAUCUCUCUCUCUCUCUCUCUCUCUCUCUCUCUCUCUAGGGUGAAUCACUUCACCGCCUCGAUCAUCUGCACCUUCGAUUUUUGUAGCCACAAGGGUCGCCGUAGAAUCGACGCCCUUCCUUCCCCUAUUUUGCUUCAUUCUUCCUUCUCCUGUUUAGACCGAGCAACAAUGGCACUCACCAUGGAACCGACGAUUGUUGCUGCUCUCAGCGGUUAGGUUGCUGCCAGUGAUGAGGUCAAGGGAGUCAAGGAGGGAUCACUGGAAAUUGAUUGAUGCCCUCUUCACGACGUGCUAGCCUCAACUGAUCCCCCGUCAAUUUUGAUCGGUUUCUCCUAUUCGAUUGUGCCCUUUUUCUCAAUCUGCUGAAGAAGACAUGUCCUCUUUUUGUAUAAUUAGAGAUUGUGGCAAAGUCAAAGAUGAAUGGUCACUCUUAUCUUCAACCUGAUUGAAUCGGUCAACACUAAAUAUGCAUUUUACUGCAUCCACUUUCUUAGUUCAGUCACAAUCAUACCCAUGAAACCAUUAUUCACCGCUCACUGCCGUCUCCAUCGCCUCCAUCGCCGGUUGCUGCCGGAAUAUAAGCUUCUCCAGGUUAGUUUUUUCAUUUUUUUUUUUGUGCUUCCGAGAAACCAAUCACUACCACCAUCGGAUUAUUCUCUACUCACAUCGAUCUUGAACGAUAAGAGAAAAAAGUUAGAAACAAACCAUCGAUCUAUUGAGGAACAUAUGUAGCAAGGUAUAAAAUAUUAUGUGGUUAUUUUCCCUUUUCCCUUUUCGAUUUUGGGUUAUUUUGAAAAUAUUUUUUAAUUUAACGUCCUAUUGUCUGGAGGUGGGGUGGAAAAUGGUUCAAAAGAGAAGACCUUUAUGGACCAAAUAAAGGGCUAACCACAUUUGGGAUGGAUUGAAAAUAUGGCUGGAUUAUUAUCAAAAUUUUGAAACUUCAAAUUUACUUAAUUGUGCAAUUUGUAUGAGUUUUUUAUUCAUUUUCUUUAUAAACUGUUUCUGGAAUUUUUCUGCUGUAUAAAUCAAGAAUGAAUACAUAGCACAUGAUUGGUUUA
Molecule: non-coding RNA, 1075 nt
Organism: Lactuca sativa (garden lettuce)
Lineage: Eukaryota; Viridiplantae; Streptophyta; Magnoliopsida; Asterales; Asteraceae
Source: RefSeq, a predicted model, not a curated record